GCAGUCUGAAGGGGAUGGUGAAGCCCAGCAAGUACGGAAAGAGUGAGUGGAAUCUGAGUGGAAAAGAAGGUGGUCCUGUGUCCACAGAAGGACGGAGGUUGUGUCGGAGUCAUCUCAUACACCUGGGCAGCUCGUUGGAAAUUGACUCCUUUUCCAUCCAAGACUGAUUUCCCAUCAGUCCCCCAGAGAGUUUGCCUCUCUGAAACUCCUGCUGGAGAACCUGCAAGUUACUGUGACCAAAUCAGAUCUACAGUUCCUACCUUCUCGUGGCUCAGCUGAAUCUCCAAGAGGCCACAGAACAAGCUCAUGGCCCCAGAGCCACAGAAAAUGGUAGGUGCAGCAAAUCACCUAGGACCAUCUGUUGUUAGUGAUUAUGGUCCUGUUCCUAUGAUACUACUGCAAGAGGAGCCAUUACCAGUGACCCCACCACCCCCUCCAUCACCAGCGACCCCCCCAACACCACCACCAUCACCACCUCUAACACCUGAACCAGGACAGUCUGCUGGAGAACUAGAGUCUCACCUUGGGCCAGUUCCAGAGCACCCUCCUGGAGGAGCUGGUGGUGAGGAUCAUGCUUCUACCACACCAAUGGAGCAGGGGCAGUCACCAGGGACCGCCUCCCCAACUACAUGCCCACAAACUGCGGGAUAGUCCAUUGGAGAGUGAGAGUGUUAUUGUGGGCCAGCUACAGUGUGCCAUGUGCCUAUCUUCCUGCUUCUGCAGCAGCACAUACCCUGGAGGCAGCCCAGGUCCUCUUUGCCCAGCUGUGGCUAGGGCUCCAGUGUCUCAGUCUCUUAACAUAUAUUGUCCACAUCAGCUCCUCAUCCACAUCCAGGAAACAGAUAGUCCAGAAUUAGAGCCUUCACUCCCCUAACCCAAGGGGGUAUUUUUUUUUUGUUUGCUUGUUUUUCCUUUAGUAUUUUCUCAGCUUAUGUGAUACUACUUUUAACAUGUAUAUUUCUCAUUAAAUAAAAUUGGCCUGAAUCAUA
Molecule: long non-coding RNA, 989 nt
Organism: Echinops telfairi (small Madagascar hedgehog)
Lineage: Eukaryota; Metazoa; Chordata; Mammalia; Afrosoricida; Tenrecidae
Exons: 3
Source: RefSeq, a predicted model, not a curated record